UUUUGGCUAAGAUCAAGUGUAGUAUCUGUUCUUAUCAGUUUAAUAUCUGAUAUGUGGGCCAUCGGCUCACAUGAUAUUAACUCUAUUUUUUAAGGGAGAGAGCCCGUUAAGAUAGCUUGCUAUCUGGGCUUUCACGAGUCGCCCAUGCGUUGCACGACUGCGCGGGCCUGGCUCAUCCCACCAAUUAUUCAGUCAAUUUUGCAGUAUAUAGAAGUUAGCAGAGAAAAGAGCUUUAUCUUAGGGUUUUACUUGCCGUUCUCAUUGCUCUUUCACCAUAAAACCCGAAGUUUUUGCUAGCUUAUUUACUAUUGUGUUGGCUUGCUCUUGGAAUAUAGAAGGUCAGCCUAAGUGGACAACAUAAGUCUGCAACUUUUCUUUUAUUGAUGUACAAUGUGUUCCCUAGCCGCUUCAAUCUAUACAGGGGAACUGCAGAAGAUAUAUAUAGGUUCAUCAAGGCCGAAAGUCUCAAACUCCAUUUCAUUGAAUAAAGAUUGUACAAUAAGCCCAUUGCAAGUGCAUGUGCAUUUGCAUGUUAUCGGACGAGAUUUUAUUGAUCUUUGAUCAUAUAAGGAACUCUUAGGUGGGGUGUGGUGAUCAAUGCAAUUCAAAUGGAUUAGCAUGAUAUUGAUAAGACAUGAAUGAAGACAUACAUAUGAAUCACCAAGAUAGUAUCGUUCUUUUUUUUUUUUUUAGUUCGAGACUUGGAGUCUUGUGUAAAAUGGCUGCCUGCACUGCGUUGCUAUUAAACUGGUUUAUAUACAGUUGAGAAAGAAACUGAUGGGGAUUAUAACGUAUACUGGGUUUUGAUUUGGUAUCGGAGAGUAGGGGAGGCUCUAGAACUCAUUCACAGGGCUACUUUUUUUGGUUUGGUUAUUUCGUUUGUUCUUGAUUUCUAUCUGUAUUCAUCAGAUUUAACGAGAGUUAUAAGGGGAAAUCAAUUCUGAAAUUACCAAACCCUGCUUGUUAUACAUGUUUAAAAGCUGUAUGUUUCUUUAUGAUUUGUUCUUUUAGGCAGCUAAUUCAAAGGGCAGAGUAUAUCUAGAAAUUUGUUACCUGCUUUUUUAUCCUAUCUUGAAGUACUGUAAGAAUCUUACCGUAAGAUGAGAGAUUUAUGUGUUUCUUUCUUUGUUUAGCUGCUCAGUUCACAGACUUCCACUGUGCCGGCCUGCCGGGCACUUUUGCUGUAUAACUGCAGUUAUAGUGCUCAGUAAGAAUUUAGGUACAGAGACGCGGUCAAUAUGACAUCAAAAACAUGUUUUAGUAAAUUUUUCCAUAAUACAGUAGAAACAAGGUGUUUAAAAGAGUUAAAGCUCUGUCGGUUAGUUGAACAUUCUGGAUGCAGCUUGACCAAUUGGUUGUCUUUAAUAAAAGGCGGUUUGUUCAUAGAUGCGUAUAAAGAAUCUAAUUUUCUAAAAGUCCCACAUCGACAAGUUAGAGAUAUUUGGUCAUAACCUUGGUAGUAUAAAUAAGAAGCCGAGCACGACAUACAAAUCAUACCUUUCUCGGCCUUUUGGCUAAGAUCAAGUGUAGUAUCUGUUCUUAUCAGUUUAAUAUCUGAUAUCCUCGUCAUCGACUUGCACGAUAUUAACUCUAUUUUUUAAGGGUGAAAGCUCGUCAGGAUAGCUUGCUAUCUAAGCUUUCGGGAGUAGCCCAUGCGUUGCACUACUGCACGGGCCUGGCUCAACCCGCCAAUCUAAUAGUUUAACAGUUGUCUCAUCUUUUUAUAGAAGAUGUAUAUGAAGUCGUAUAGUUAAACUAAAUCUUGUCGAAGUUACAUAUGAAGUCGUAAGUGUUUGAUCAGAUGAAUAUGCUCUUAAUUGUACUUAGACAAAAUCUGAGCACAAAUCGUUGGAAACAGCCUAUUCUCUGCAAAUGAGAUAGAAACACAACAUUGGAGAAGGAAGGAAGGAAGAAAGAACAAAACCUAAAUCUUGGAACUUCUCUAACAACAUAUAAACUUCCCACCAAAAUUCAAAAGCAAACAUAAUAGCAGCUCAGAUUGUAUUAGGAAAAUGCCUAAUUCAAGCAUCAUUUUAGUGAGUUCAAUGGAAGCAGCAUUAGUUCCCUGAGCAAGAAAGCUUCCCCAAUAUUGCUUUUCUUGGUUUUUAAGUUUCCACCUUUCCUCUGUGAUCAAUGGCAAAUAACGCACAGAGAGAAUAAAGAUAUGUAGAAAGAGUAGUAUUGUUUUGUUUUCAUAUGUGUAUUUGACUUUUUAAAAAAACUAUAUUCACCCGCGGUGUACCGCAGGGCUA
Camelina sativa (false flax) is the source of this 2252-nucleotide non-coding RNA. NCBI's taxonomy places the organism in Eukaryota, Viridiplantae, Streptophyta, Magnoliopsida, Brassicales, Brassicaceae. The record is from RefSeq and is a predicted model, not a curated record.